This 468-nucleotide ribosomal RNA is filed under the name uncultured bacterium. RNAcentral's name for it is "partial 16S ribosomal RNA". It matches the Rfam family "Bacterial small subunit ribosomal RNA", at positions 28 to 507 of the family's 1533-position model. The record is from RNAcentral.
GACGAACGCUGGCGGCGUGCUUAACACAUGCAAGUCGAACGGAAAGGCCCGGCUUUUGUUGGGGGCUCGGGUGGCGCGCGGGGGGGAAGGACGAGAGUAACGUGCCCGUGACUUUGGGAUAACGGGUGGAAGCUGGGGCUAAUAGCGCAUAUGAGCUUUUGAUGCGCGGGGUGGGUUGGAAAGUUUGGGCGGUUGGGGUUGGACUCGCGGAUUAGCAGCUUGUUGGUCGGGUUGUGGCUGACGAAGGCUUUGACGGGUAGGCGGCCUGAGAGGGUGACCGGGGACAAUGGGCCUGCGAUAAGGCCCAGCAGCCUACGGGAGGCAGGAGCGGGGGAUAUUGCACAAAGGGCGGGAGCCUGAUUGAGCAAUGCCGGGUUCGGGAUGACGGCCUUCGGGUUGUAAACCGCUUUCGCCUGUGACGAAGCGUGAGUGACGGUAAUGGGUAAAGAAGCACCGGCUAACUACGUG